Molecule: long non-coding RNA, 227 nt
Filed under: Elaeis guineensis (African oil palm)
Lineage: Eukaryota; Viridiplantae; Streptophyta; Magnoliopsida; Arecales; Arecaceae
Description: long non-coding RNA (EGUI_LNC012702)
Source: RNAcentral
UGUAUGGGUGGUAAAAUAUAAGAACUAUAGAAGUCCGAGUACAAAAGCAUUCUUUCUGCCAGGAUAGCUGCCUACUCUAAGACAUUGGCAUCACCUCCAUAGACUGAUGACACAGGCACCUCGAUAGGUUGGCUGCUAGGAGGAACUAAUGUAGGUGAAGAUAGUGGUGUCAAGAUCACGCUAUCAACCCACUCCAAGAUGUCAAAAUCAAUGAGCCCACCAUCAUC